Molecule: ribosomal RNA, 532 nt
Filed under: uncultured fungus
Lineage: Eukaryota; Fungi
Description: SSU rRNA
Rfam family: Eukaryotic small subunit ribosomal RNA
Source: RNAcentral
GUUAUCGUUUACUUGAUAGUACCUUACUACUUGGAUAACCGUGGUAAUUCUAGAGCUAAUACAUGCUAAAAACCCCGACUUCGGAAGGGGUGUAUUUAUUAGAUAAAAAACCAAUGCCCUUCGGGGCUCCUUGGUGAUUCAUAAUAACUUAACGAAUCGCAUGGCCUUGUGCCGGCGAUGAUUCAUUCAAAUUUCUGCCCUAUCAACUUUCGAUGGUAUGGUCUUGGCUUACCAUGGUUUCAACGGGUAACGGGGAAUUAGGGUUCUAUUCCGGAGAGGGAGCCUGAGAAACGGCUACCACAUCCAAGGAAGGCAGCAGGCGCGCAAAUUACCCAAUCCCGACACGGGGAGGUAGUGACAAUAAAUACUGAUACAGGGCUCUUUUGGGUCUUGUAAUUGGAAUGAGUACAAUUUAAAUCCCUUAACGAGGAACAAUUGGAGGGCAAGUCUGGUGCCAGCAGCCGCGGUAAUUCCAGCUCCAAUAGCGUAUAUUAAAGUUGUUGCAGUUAAAAAGCUCGUAGUUGAACCUUGG